GCGCCCUACAACUGGAACACGGAGUGUCUGCGGGGCGACGGCGAGGCACCUGGAUGGGCCACAGCUUUCCCGCAGGCGUUGGGGCUUGCCGCCGCCUUCAGUCCAGAACUCAUCUACCGUGUGGCCAACGCCACGGCCACCGAGGUGAGAGCCAAACACAACAGCUUUGCUGCUGCUGGCCGCUACAGUGACCACACCGGGCUCAGCUGCUUCAGCCCUGUCCUGAACAUCAUGAGGCACCCACUGUGGGGGAGGAACCAGGAGACCUAUGGGGAGGACCCAUUCCUGAUUGGGGAGCUGGCCCGUAGCUUUGUGCAGGGGCUUCAGGGUCAGCACCCCCGUUAUGUUAAGGCCAGUGCUGGCUGCAAACACUUCAGUGUGCACGGAGGCCCUGAGAACAUCCCCGUCUCCAGGCUAAGCUUCGAUGCCAAGGUGCUGGAGCGGGACUGGCGCAUGACCUUCCUGCCCCAGUUCCAGGCAUGUGUGCGUGCUGGCUCCUACAGCUUCAUGUGCAGCUACAACAGGAUCAACGGUGUUCCUGCUUGUGCCAACAAGAAGCUGCUGACGGACAUCCUGCGUGGCGAGUGGGGCUUUGAUGGCUACGUGGUGAGCGACGAGGGGGCUGUGGAGCUCAUCAUGCUAGGGCACCACUACACACACAGCUUUCUGGAGACAGCGGUUGCCUCGGUGAACGCUGGCUGCAACCUGGAGCUCUCCUAUGGCAUGAGGAACAACGUAUUCAUGCACAUCCCUGAGGCUCUGGCCAUGGGCAACAUCACACUGCAGAUGCUGCGUGACCGAGUCCGGCCCCUCUUCUACACACGGAUGCGGCUGGGGGAGUUUGCCCCCCCAGCCAUGAACCCCUACAGCUCCCUGGACCUGAGUGUGGUGCAGAGCCCCGAGCACCGCAACCUCUCGCUGGAAGCUGCCGUCAAGAGCUUUGUGCUGCUGAAGAACGUGCGGGGGACACUGCCCCUGCGGGCCCAGGACCUGUCUGGCCAGCACCUCGCGGUCGUGGGUCCCUUUGCUGACAAUCCCCGGGUACUGUUUGGGGACUAUGCACCAGUGCCAGAUCCUCAGUACAUCUACACCCCCCGGAGGGGGCUGGAGAUGCUGGGGGCCAAUGUCAGCUUCACAGCGGGCUGCAGCGAGCCACGGUGCAAGCUGUACUCCCGGGCAGAGCUGCUGAGGGUGGUGAGGGCAGCUGAUGUGGUGCUGGUCUGCCUGGGCACAGGGGUAGAUGUGGAGACAGAGGCGAAAGACCGGAGUGACCUGUCUCUGCCCGGGCAGCAGCUGGAGCUGCUGCAGGAUGCUGUGCAGGCGGCCGCUGGGCGCCCUGUCAUUCUGCUGCUGUUCAACGCGGGGCCCCUGGACGUGAGCUGGGCUCAGGCACACGACGGCGUAGGGGCCAUCCUGGCCUGCUUCUUCCCUGCCCAGGCCACCGGCUUGGCCAUUGCCAGGGUCCUGCUGGGUGAGGCAGGGGCCAGCCCAGCUGGCCGGCUGCCAGCCACUUGGCCUGCAGGCAUGCACCAGGUGCCACCGAUGGAGAACUACACCAUGGAGGGACGGACAUACCGGUACUAUGGGCAGGAGGCCCCGCUCUACCCUUUUGGGUACGGGCUGUCCUACACCACGUUCCGCUAUCGGGACCUGGUGCUGAGCCCCCCAGUGCUGCCGGUCUGUGCCAACCUUUCUGUGUCUGUGGUGCUGGAGAACACGGGGCUGCGGGACAGCGAGGAGGUGGUGCAGCUGUACCUGCGCUGGGAGCAGUCAUCUGUGCUGGUGCCCCGCUGGCAGCUGGUGGCUUUCCGCCGUGUGGCUGUGCUGGCCGGCCGGGAGGCCAAGCUGACCUUCCAGGUGCUGGCCGAGCAGCGCGCUGUCUGGGCGCAGGACUGGCGCCUGGAGCCCAGCACCUUCACCCUGUUCGCUGGAGGGCAGCAGCCGGGCCAGAAGACACGGGCGCCCUCGGAGGUGCUGAAUGCACGGUUCAGUGUUACCGGCACUGCCCGGCCCUUACGCACGUGUUAGCCGCGGGGGUGGGCACAGGGUGCUGGCAGAGGAAGGGAUGCGAUGUACCCCGUGUGCCGCAGGCAGUGUGGUGGUUCUCUGCCCUGCAAUAAAGUGCUGGUGCUCCGUGUCA
Long non-coding RNA from Serinus canaria (Common canary), 2140 nucleotides. Lineage: Eukaryota; Metazoa; Chordata; Aves; Passeriformes; Fringillidae. The record is from Ensembl.